GGCGGGCGGGGCGGGGGCACGGGGGGAACGCGAAGAACCUUACCUACUCUUGACAUCCAGAGAACUUUCCAGAGAUGGAUUGGUGCCUUCGGGAACUCUGAGACAGGUGCUGCAUGGCUGUCGUCAGCUCGUGUUGUGAAAUGUUGGGUUAAGUCCCGCAACGAGCGCAACCCUUAUCCUUUGUUGCCAGCGGUUCGGCCGGGAACUCAAAGGAGACUGCCAGUGAUAAACUGGAGGAAGGUGGGGAUGACGUCAAGUCAUCAUGGCCCUUACGAGUAGGGCUACACACGUGCUACAAUGGCAUAUACAAAGAGAAGCGACCUCGCGAGAGCAAGCGGACCUCAUAAAGUAUGUCGUAGUCCGGAUUGGAGUCUGCAACUCGACUCCAUGAAGUCGGAAUCGCUAGUAAUCGUAGAUCAGAAUGCUACGGUGAAUACGUUCCCGGGUCUUGUACACACCGA
RNAcentral lists this ribosomal RNA (461 nucleotides) under Serratia sp. BF-1. Its description in RNAcentral is "bacterial SSU rRNA". It matches the Rfam family "Bacterial small subunit ribosomal RNA", at positions 928 to 1393 of the family's 1533-position model. Lineage: Bacteria; Pseudomonadati; Pseudomonadota; Gammaproteobacteria; Enterobacterales; Yersiniaceae. The record is from RNAcentral.